AGCUUUGCGCAGUGGCGAUAUCGUAACCAAUGAGGUACAAUCCGAGGUGCGAUUAUUGCUAGUUUAAAAAAAAUAAUAUUUUAUCAACACUUUGUAGGUCUUAUAGUUUUCGAACUAGAAAUUUUUGUUAAAAAUUAAGA
This is a small nuclear RNA of Toxorhynchites rutilus septentrionalis, 140 nucleotides long. RefSeq annotates it as U4 spliceosomal RNA. The record is from RefSeq and is a predicted model, not a curated record. Lineage: Eukaryota; Metazoa; Arthropoda; Insecta; Diptera; Culicidae. The transcript has a single exon.